Molecule: long non-coding RNA, 1470 nt
Filed under: Dasypus novemcinctus (nine-banded armadillo)
Lineage: Eukaryota; Metazoa; Chordata; Mammalia; Cingulata; Dasypodidae
Description: lncRNA (ENSDNOG00000052020.1)
Source: RNAcentral
UCAUUUUUCAUUCUAGAAGAAAAAGCUGGAAAAAGACACCGAAGCAGUGAGGUAUCUCUUCCCAUCUCUAAAACUAGCCCAAACCCUUUAGCUGAGGCGUCUCGUGCUAGGAAGGGCACAGUGCAGCUGGUCUGAGGGUGCCCGCGUGGCACUGUGGGUCAGUGCGAUGAUGCUGAGAAACACUUUUUUUUUUCACUUUUUUUUGCCACUCCUGGGCAGGCUGAACUUUCUUUCACGCUAGGCGGCUCUCCUUACGGGGCACACUCCUUGCGCGUGGGGCUCCCCUACUCGGGGACACUCCUGCGUGGCAGGGCACUCCUUGCACACAUCAGCACUGCGCAUGGGCCAGCUCCACACGGGUCAAGGAGGCCCGGGGUUUGAACCAUGGACCUCCCAUGUGGUAGGAGGAUGCCCUAUCCCUUGGGCCAAAUCCAUUUCCCCUGAGAAACCUUAAAAUCUUAUUUUCUGACCUGAGGCCACUUCUGGCAACACCCUCCAAAGAAUCCCUUCUAAAACUUAGGGAGAAAUGGGUGCACUAAGACGUUUCACCACAUUUUUCAAAUAGUAGCAGAAGCGGAGGCACCCUACACGCCUACCCAUCUAAUAGGUGAGCAAACUCCAGCACAUCUCCAUGGAAUGUUGCAGGAGGCUUAGGAAGACUCCAGCAGCCUGGGAAGUGUCUGUAGAGUUAGAAGAACAGGAUAUCAAAUCCCUCCCACCUGAUUUCACAUGUUUUCAGAAGAAGUUCGACCCCAAAACAACAAACAAAAACCCUUAUAGGAAAUACACCAACAUGUCCAUAUUGGUGGCAGGUAAAGAAAACGACAAGUAAUUUAUUCACUGGUCUGUUUGGGGCAAGGGGGGUCACCUGACUUACAAUGAAAAAGACACAUUUGUGAUUAAUGAAGGACAAUGGGAGGAAGCCUAAGAAGAAAAAGGCCCUCUUUAAAAAGAGCGAAUCCGAGUUGAUCUGGCGGGGCUCGGGUGCAGGGGUGCAUUCUGCAGCCCCCGCCUCUCCGUCAAGCAGCCCCCUGCUCCCCAGCACCGUCGAGGGCGCGGCCUCCCCCGCAAGGGCCCUGGCCAGGCCCAGCGCUCCUGGGGUCGAGCUGAACCCUCUCUCCAACCCCUCUUCCAGAUCCAGGUCCAGUCUUAAAGGCAAGAGUCCUGGGUCAAAGGCCGCACCGCAGCUCAGACUUAAAAAGCCCAGAUCCAAGAAAUGAAUCGGGAAGCGACCCGCCGUGGCGGCUGAGGGGGCGGAGCUCUGAGACCACCUUGCAAGAGGGGCCCUUGGGGUGGGGGAGCCCCUCUACCCAGGCCCCCCCCUCCUCGGGGCCCCCCUCCGUCUCCAAGCCUUAAUGUGAUGGGGCCUGCUGGGGGGCAGCACAAGAGCCCCCCACUGCUCCAGUUUCAGCAGGACCAGGAAGCAGAGUGCGCACUGCAGGGUCCCAAUAAAGUUUGCUCUAUGAGGAU